AAAACACUUUAGCUUACUGAAACGUUUUAUAUUUGAAGAGUGUUUCCUAUUUUUGUUUUCCUAUUUGCAAAAAGUGCAGAUUUCAAUAGAAAUUUACAUUUUUAUAAAUUAACUUUGUAACACCCACCAGCUGCCAAUCUGACAACCGUUUAGUUACUUCCUGGUUCGAUUAGCUCAGUGAGGCAGCAAUUGCCCAGAGCAGUUGCUUCG
Molecule: non-coding RNA, 210 nt
Organism: Pelobates cultripes (western spadefoot toad)
Lineage: Eukaryota; Metazoa; Chordata; Amphibia; Anura; Pelobatidae
Source: the annotation of a GenBank genome assembly